This 253-nucleotide ribosomal RNA is filed under the name uncultured bacterium. RNAcentral's name for it is "partial 16S ribosomal RNA". It matches the Rfam family "Bacterial small subunit ribosomal RNA", at positions 524 to 776 of the family's 1533-position model. The record is from RNAcentral.
UACGAAGGGAGCUAGCGUUGUUCGGAAUCACUGGGCGUAAAGCGCACGUAGGCGGAUUUGCCAGUCAGGGGUGAAAUCCCGGGGCUCAACCUCGGAACUGCCUUUGAUACAGCAAGUCUUGAGUUCGAGAGAGGUGGGUGGAAUUCCUAGUGUAGAGGUGAAAUUCGUAGAUAUUAGGAAGAACACCGGUGGCGAAGGCGGCCCACUGGCUCGACACUGACGCUGAGGCACGAAGGUCAGGGGAGCAAACGGG